Molecule: non-coding RNA, 48 nt
Filed under: Schistosoma margrebowiei
Lineage: Eukaryota; Metazoa; Platyhelminthes; Trematoda; Strigeidida; Schistosomatidae
Source: RNAcentral
AUCCGGUUGACGAGUCCCAAAUAGGACGAAAUGCUCGUCAAACUGGAU